GCGCCGGUCUCAUCGCUGCUGAGGGUCAGCAGAGAGCCGCGGCCUGUGGGGCGUUGUCUAAUCCCAGAGCGCUGACUGCGGGCACCGAGAAUCCUGGCGUUAGUCCAAGGGGCCUGGCGAAAUCUCGUUAACGAGUACUGCAGGCUGUUGGUGAAGUCACGACGUAGUGCCAGUGGCCUCGUCCCGCUCUGCUCAAGGGACCCUCACAGGCUGUGGAAUCCGGGCGUCGGGACCUCCGGGGACCUGGGCCUUCUGCUUCCACUCUCAUUCCUGAAUGUUAAAGGGGCAGGGCCGGACCGGAUGGAAUCACCAAAAAGUAUAAUCAUUAGGUCACUAGAUGUGCACGUUGGCAAUUUUCGAAAAUAUUGCCAGAGAGAUUGAAAUAAUUCACCACUGCCCCUCCUCCAGCUUCUCCUGGGCAUGCCACAUACACUGUGGGAAGGGGAAAGGCUGACCUAGAACACCUUCAAGUGGAUGCUACAGAACCCACCAGGGCAGAGCCUCAGCUCUCAGCCUCCCGGAAUGAACCAUGAACCCAAAGCAAAGAGCAGAACUCCUUUGACACCUCCAGCUUCACAGACAAAGAUGAAUCUCCUAAGGCAUUUCUGAAACAUGCAGUUCUGAAGUCUGGCCAGCCACACCAAAGAGCUUUUCGCAAGAAGGCACAGGCCAGGUAGAGGCAGCUGUGCAGUGGGAGGACUGUGAUGUUUUGGACUAGAAAAUAAGACGCAAAUGAGGCCAAAAAAACACAGGCACUGCAUAAAGGUGUCUUCUCCCCACUUUAUAAGCCUUAUGUGUGAUAAUAUUCAAUGCCACAGCAAGGCAAGCAAAUAGGUCCUUGGAGGGAGGGAUAGCUGGAUUUUAAUCCUGGCUCUACACUAAGGUCUUGGACUACUUACUGCAGGUCUCUGAGCUUCAUAGUUUUAUGUAUAAAAUAGGAUGAAGACCAUCCCCAAAUCCACUUCGAUGGUGAGAAUUAGGUGACAUGACAGCAGAAGGGCAUUUAGAGUUUGGCACAGAAGGGAUCUCAACAAAUGGUAGCUGUGUUUCAUCGUUCAUUUGAGAACUGAUGUUUGGAUCCUUUUCUGCAUCUUGAAAUGUCCCAAAAUAUUCCUCCUUAAGCCCUGCAGUUGGAUACUCAUUGAUACUUCUCUGUUCAAUUUAUACUGCGAGCAGGGGAGGGAGGCUUGAGCUUGGUUCCAUGAACGAGGUUGAAGGGUGUAAGUCUCCCAGCUUCAUUUCUGUCUCCUCCUCACCUGGGGAGCCAUGGCCAAUUCUCUUCCCAGGUCACUUGACUUCUCCAUGACCAUGACUUUCACCUUCUGCAUUUUGGAACAAUAUACUCAUGAAUGCUAAGAAGCUUUUGUUUCUUUCUGCCUGUGCUGAGCCUGUCUACUAUAAAAGAAAAAUCACAAUGGUUGUCA
RNAcentral lists this long non-coding RNA (1424 nucleotides) under Homo sapiens (human). Its description in RNAcentral is "long intergenic non-protein coding RNA 390". The record is from RNAcentral. Lineage: Eukaryota; Metazoa; Chordata; Mammalia; Primates; Hominidae.